GGAGACGUCGCAUAGCCAGGUCGAGUGCGCCUCCCUGCUAAGGAGGUAGGGGUUCACGCCCCUCGAGGGUUCAAAUCCCUCCGUCUCCGCCA
This 92-nucleotide transfer RNA is filed under the name Actinomyces sp. RNAcentral's name for it is "tRNA-Ser". It matches the Rfam family "tRNA". From Rfam's summary of the family: Transfer RNA (tRNA) molecules are approximately 80 nucleotides in length. Their secondary structure includes four short double-helical elements and three loops (D, anti-codon, and T loops). The record is from RNAcentral. RNAcentral also lists the same sequence under 1 other name. Lineage: Bacteria; Bacillati; Actinomycetota; Actinomycetes; Actinomycetales; Actinomycetaceae.